GCUGCCAGCAUCUGGCACUGUGGUUCCUGCAUGAAAACAGUGGAUGGCGGGGUCUGGACCUACAACGCUACUCCUGCCAUCACAGUGAAGUCUGC
This is a microRNA precursor of Cricetulus griseus (Chinese hamster), 95 nucleotides long. Lineage: Eukaryota; Metazoa; Chordata; Mammalia; Rodentia; Cricetidae. The record is from Ensembl.